AAAAACAGAGUGGAACAGAGACGAAUGUAGGUUGAACCAUGAAUGUCCUUGUGAAAUACAUAGUCUUUUUUUCACUACUUCUAGCAGCCUCUUGUUGUGACUAUGAUGGCCAAUGUUAUGGAAAAAUAAACUGCCCAAGUGGCCAGGUUAGAGCUUGCUCAUAUAAACGGUGCACCUGCAGAGUGGGGACCCUAUGCCUGUUUGAUGGAAACUGCGUUAAAGUCUGCAACAGUAACCAAACACCUGACUGCAGAUUGUUUCGGUGUUAUUGUCAUCAAAAUUAAGGGCAAGAAAUAUUAAAAUAUUUUGCGAAA
Saccostrea cuccullata (small rock oyster) is the source of this 314-nucleotide long non-coding RNA. RefSeq lists it as uncharacterized. The transcript is spliced from 3 exons. The record is from RefSeq and is a predicted model, not a curated record. NCBI's taxonomy places the organism in Eukaryota, Metazoa, Mollusca, Bivalvia, Ostreida, Ostreidae.